AUCUUUUUAGUAAAAAAAUUACAAGUGAUUUCCAAUCAUUUAGCCUUAGUUAAAAUCUAAGAAAAGAUA
RNAcentral lists this transfer RNA (69 nucleotides) under Batrachuperus sp. 2 PZ-2020. Its description in RNAcentral is "tRNA-Gly". It matches the Rfam family "tRNA". Rfam says of the family: Transfer RNA (tRNA) molecules are approximately 80 nucleotides in length. Their secondary structure includes four short double-helical elements and three loops (D, anti-codon, and T loops). Lineage: Eukaryota; Metazoa; Chordata; Amphibia; Caudata; Hynobiidae. The record is from RNAcentral.